AGUGAACGCUGGCGGUAGGCCUAACACAUGCAAGUCGAACGGCAGCACAGUAAGAGCUUGCUCUUACGGGUGGCGAGUGGCGGACGAGUGAGGAAUACAUCGGAAUCUACUUUUUCGUGGGGGAUAACGUAGGGAAACUUACGCUAAUACCGCAUACGACCUACGGGUGAAAGCAGGGGAUCUUCGGACCUUGCGCGAUUGAAUGAGCCGAUGUCGGAUUAGCUAGUUGGCGGGGUAAAGGCCCACCAAGGCGACGAUCCGUAGCUGGUCUGAGAGGAUGAUCAGCCACCCUGGAACUGCGACACGGUCCAGACUCCUACGGGAGGCAGCAGUGGGGAAUAUUGGACAAUGGGCGCAAGCCUGAUCCAGCCAUACCGCGUGGGUGAAGAAGGCCUUCGGGUUGUAAAGCCCUUUUGUUGGGAAAGAAAAGCAGCAGGUUAAUACCCCGCUGUUCUGACGGUACCCAAAGAAUAAGCACCGGCUAACUUCGUG
Molecule: ribosomal RNA, 492 nt
Filed under: uncultured bacterium
Lineage: Bacteria
Description: partial 16S ribosomal RNA
Rfam family: Bacterial small subunit ribosomal RNA
Source: RNAcentral